Stegostoma tigrinum is the source of this 2117-nucleotide long non-coding RNA. RefSeq lists it as uncharacterized. The record is from RefSeq and is a predicted model, not a curated record. The transcript has 4 exons. Lineage: Eukaryota; Metazoa; Chordata; Chondrichthyes; Orectolobiformes; Stegostomatidae.
CUUCUCCUUAUAACUCAAACGCUCCAUUCCCAGCAACAUUUUGCUAAAUCUCUUCUGAACCUUCUCCAGUUUAACGAUAUUCUUCCUAUAACAGGGUGACCUAAACUGGAUGCAGUUCUCCAGAAGAGGCCUCACCAGCAUUCUGUACAACCUCACUAAAACCAAAAGAACUGCAAAUGCUGUAAACCAGGAACAAAAACAGAAGUUGCUGGAAAAGCUGAGUAGGUCUCGCAGCAUCUGUGAAGAAAAAAAAAGUCAGAGUUUACAUAUCGGGUCCAGUGACCCUUCCUCAGAACUGUUCUCUACAACCUCUACAUGAUGUCCCAACUCCAGUACUGAAGAGUCUGAGCAAUGAAGGAAGCUUGUAAAGCAACAGUACAAGAAAGGAUGGCAGUAGCAAAUCUAUCCAAACAAGACUGUAGCAGAAACAGACACCAGAGUUGGCAUAUUUUACAACAUACUGAACAACAGUUGGGUUUUUGUCUUCUAAAGUGAAGAGAUGAAAAAAAUCCACAGCCAUUUGAAGAGAAGAAAGGGGGACAAAAUCUUGCUGCAGGCAAAAAGAAAAGGAUCUGAUGGCCUUCAUAAAUGUCUUCUCCUGGACUCCUAAUGCACAGCAGAUCAAUUUCAUCUCCAAACCAAUGCAACUCUACCACAGGAUUUCUACAGAACCUUCCUAAAGCAGUCCAUGGAUCAGAUGGAAAACGGAAGAGAUCAAAAGUGGAGAUAGGAGUCAUGACCAUGUUCCUCACCAAGCAUUUUAUCUACUGGUCCAAAACCUGGGUCCUUGGACUCUAUACUAAAAAGCUCCUCAGCAAGGGAUCAUCAUCAAAAAGAGAAGAGAGAGGAAAAGGAAACCAGCCAAGAAAGCAUUUGUCCCCAACAACCACAAAAAAGAGAAAAAUUCCAGUUUAAUAUUGAUUUUUGUAAGUUGUGAGAUUGAGUGUGAGCUGAAAUUCUCCUUACUUAUGUUCUUCAUUGCUAUACAAAAUGUAGUUCCAAUCAAAAGACAACUUUCAUUGUUUAAAUAAACUGUUGAUAAGUCUUAGGCUAAUGGCUAUCACAUAGCUACACAACUGUAUGAGGAAGCACUAUUUAUAGUCAUUGCUCAGUCAUACAAAGCUCAUGUCCUUAUAAUCAUCAGUUUCUUUAGUGCCUACUCUGUGGUAAUUGUUUUGUAUGGCCCUGGGCAAGCAAUCAAAGGAUGUAAAAGUUGAAUUUCAAGCUGCACAAGUAAAUUGGUCUGGGGAGGACACAGAAAGUAAAGAUUUCAUGUAAACUGAGUUUGUUGCACAUGUUGCAUCUCUUCCCAUUGGAAAUUAGCACAAUCAUUUCUUGCAGGCAAGUCAUUUUUAAAAGUUGGAAGAUACUAUCACUUCAUCUCUGUCACCUGUGUAAUGAAGUAAACAAUGUAGGAACACAGAUUAGAUCAUCCAUUAUCAAACACCCCACGACAAAAAAAGUGAAACCACCUGCAGUUUAACAGAUGUUUAAUCAAUUACUGUAGCUCUCAUGAAUGUCCUCCUCAUUCUCUGCAACACGGGCUACCUUUUGAGUAGGAGGAUAAAAUUAUGCCAGGAAAAAAAUAGCAAGAAGUGAGGUUUUACUGUUGCCUCUUUUCCCAAUCAAAAAUUUUAAAAUUGAAGGUAUUAAAAGCUGUCAAGUUAACACAAACACAAAAUGUAAUUCAACAACUUCUUGUUUUACAAGAUUUCAAAUUUUCUUUCAACCAUGGAUACGUUUUGUACCUUGCUUUUAAAAUAGUCAUUUUGCUUACUUGUCAAUUUCUUCUAAGUGCCUUUCUGUUGUCCAUCUUGAUCUGUUCCAUAAAACAAGCAGCAGUUGUGUUUUGGGUUUGGCAUCGUAACAAGGGUCCAAGCAUUUUGCACUGUGAGUGGAGACAGUGAGUUUAAGGAAAAGGCUUACGGAAAUGAGCUACCAGACAAAGCCAGAACCGAUCUUACAGCUGUGCAUAUAUUUAAGGAAAUAAUGGAGGAGUGGAAGUGCUGCAUAUUUUAUUGAUGAUGCAUCACACAAGCAAUGAGAAAUGGGGGCUGCUUUGUAAACUUGGCCAAGUGUUUUAAAGCAUGGUACUGUAAGCAAAACAGAUGAACUGG